GGCGACGUAGCCAAGUGGUAAGGCACGGGUCUGCAAAACCCUGAUCGUGGGUUCGAUUCCCACCGUCGCCUCCA
RNAcentral lists this transfer RNA (74 nucleotides) under Chloroflexota bacterium. Its description in RNAcentral is "Chloroflexi bacterium tRNA-Cys". It matches the Rfam family "tRNA". Rfam says of the family: Transfer RNA (tRNA) molecules are approximately 80 nucleotides in length. Their secondary structure includes four short double-helical elements and three loops (D, anti-codon, and T loops). Further hydrogen bonds mediate the characteristic L-shaped molecular structure. tRNAs have two regions of fundamental functional importance: the anti-codon, which is responsible for specific mRNA codon recognition, and the 3' end, to which the tRNAs corresponding amino acid is attached (by aminoacyl-tRNA synthetases). tRNAs cope with the degeneracy of the genetic code in two manners: having more than one tRNA (with a specific anti-codon) for a particular amino acid; and 'wobble' base-pairing, i.e. permitting non-standard base-pairing at the 3rd anti-codon position. RNAcentral also lists the same sequence under 4 other names. Lineage: Bacteria; Bacillati; Chloroflexota. The record is from RNAcentral.